AUAUGCUGCCACUCUUUGGUCAGGUAUACUUUUAACGUUAAGGACGUGCAUUGGUCACAGCCUCUGUAUCAGUAAGGGUAUCUAUGUUUCAAAAUUUUAACGUCUCCGAAAGCGCAAGGACAGUUCUUGUCGUCUGUCUUGUGUGUUGCACGAACUAAGCUGCUAUGUCUUCUUCCGAGUACCGUUGUUGUGGCCUUGCAGUUCUUACGGGAGGAAGAGGAAGGAACUAGGCUGCUGUACUGUGUCUGCUUGCGGCUAGCUCAGAUGGUCUACCAGACCUACUGCCCCUGCACGAACUAGAACACCACCAGGACCGGCGGCAGGAGGAACUAGGAGGGGUGGUAGAACCCGUACGACAUGUCGUGGUGGAGGAGGUCGAGGAAGUAGGGCGGGUCGCGGAGGCCCUCGUAGAGGUAGAACCGCGUGGCGUCGUCGCAGUCGGCCCGGUCGCGGCGGUAGCUGGGCCGCGAGUGGCGGGUGAGGAGGUCCAGGCCGUCGGGGUCGGAGUCGAAGACGUCCGACGCCUUGCGCGGCAGGGGCUUGAGGUCGGCGAGCGGGAGCAUGCGCGGGGUGUAGUCGCAAUCGAGGCGGUCCGAGCCGUCGAGCGGGUCGUACAGGUGCUUGGGGACGGGGUGGUAGCACGGGGUGUAGCUGUCGGCGCAGUCCAAGCCGGCCUACAUGGCCUGGCGGUGGAGCAGCCGCGGUAGUCGUAGUAGGAGGAGGAGGUACCGGGGGUGGUCGGAGUCCGAGACGUCGGCGGCGUCCGAGCGCUGCCACUUGUGCCGGCCGCCGUCGCUGAGCGGGACGUCGUGGUCCACGUGGUCGUCCAGGUCCGAGAGGUCGCGGCAGUGGUCGCAAGGCCGCAAGCGCCGGCAGUCGGGCGAGUCGAGGUCGCUGGCCUCCAACCACCGGGAGGGGUCGCCCAACGGCCGCUGCCGCGCGCACAGGGUCGGCGCGCCGACGUGCGGCACCUCGCAGACCUCCGACAUGUCCAGCGGGUCCGUGGACCCGUCGCGCUUGCCGCGGUGGUGCACGGCGUCGCAGCCCUAGCAGGUCUUGCGCCGCCAGUGCGGGUCGUGCGGCGGCGAGGCCGGGAACUCCUAGUCGCUGACGUCCAAGUGGUCGAACGAAUAGCACGAGCCGUCGGAGAGGUCGACGGGCGUGACCUCCGGGUCCAUGGAAUACACCUAGUAGCUCGGCUCGAGCAGACCUUCGAAGAACUCGAGCUCCGGUACCUACAGCUACUGCGCCUCCUUGAACCUGCGCACCUCCUUCGGGUCCAGCCACCUCACCUACGUCUGCGACCCGAAGCGCCGUGGCGGCGACCGCUUCAGCGUCUGCUACCACGCCUCGAACCCGUCGCGCAACGGCUCCACCUGCACGGACAGGCACCACAAGACCUGCCGCUCCGCCGCGUGCCACCGGCCCCGCUCGUGCAGCCACGACAGCACCGAGAGCUGCUUCGUGCGGAGGACUCGGAGAAGGACGCGCUUUCGCACCUCCGCCAGCACGUGGUGGUGGCGGCAGUGCCACCGCUUGAGCAGGAACAGGUGGUCGACGUGGUACGUGGCCCUCUACUCGAGGAACUCCAUGGGGACGGGCUGGAGGAGGUACCACGAGGGCGCGGCGCCGGCGUGCUUGGGGAGCCGGUGGGUGUCGGCGUGGUCGGAGCGGCGCAGGUGCCCCCGCGAGAGGCCGUAGCGGCGCUUCAUCUCCUUCGUGCUGAACUCCACCACGCCGUCCAGCAGCUUGCGGUCGCUGUACUACGCGGCCCGUGGCGGCGAGGGCGAGAACGUUACGACGCCGACCAGGAACCGGCGGUCGUCGACGCGGUAGUGGACCAGGGUGAGGCGUCCGUCGAGGAACCUGGCCUCGUGCGGCCGCUCCUGCUGCUGCCUCUCGCCGUCCGGCGCCCACUAGGCCUUGUGCAGGACCAUCAUGGAACUGAACAUCGCCGGCCCCGUCAGCGGCGCCUCCGGCUUGUGGGCCGCGGCCUUGUCAAGCAUGCACAAGAGGCCCGACUCGGCGCACUCGAGCUACCCCAGCAUGCAGCCGGGCGGCCGCAUGUGGUGGGACGACGGCAACGGGAGCAGCCCCUCGCUGCGUGCCUCCGACAAGGUCAGCCGCUGCCGCUACGACGGCAGGUGCUGCUGUUCCAUGGCGGACGGCCAGUACAAGGCCUUGUCGCUCAACGACUACAGGAACGGCGGGAACCGCAGCGUCGGCGGCAGGAGGCGCGAGACCGGCAACCUGCCCCUGGCCGCCUCGACCCUCCACCGGACGGCCACCUACAGCGCCUCGUGCAGCCGCCCCGCCGACAACCCUCCCUCGUGCCAGGUCCACGCAUACCGCUUCACCAACGCCUGGAG
RNAcentral lists this ribosomal RNA (2369 nucleotides) under Triticum aestivum (bread wheat). RNAcentral describes it as "partial small subunit ribosomal RNA". Lineage: Eukaryota; Viridiplantae; Streptophyta; Magnoliopsida; Poales; Poaceae. The record is from RNAcentral.